Molecule: ribosomal RNA, 935 nt
Filed under: uncultured organism
Description: bacterial SSU rRNA
Rfam family: Bacterial small subunit ribosomal RNA
Source: RNAcentral
AUGGACGAAAGUCUGACGCAUCAACACCGCGUGAGGGAUGAAGGUUUUCGGAUUGUAAACCUCUGUUGAGUGGGAAGAAACUGCUUCGGCCUUGACGGUACCACUCGAGGAAGCCCCGGCUAAAUACGUGCCAGCAGCCGUGGUAAUACGUAUGGGGCAAGCGUUGUUCGGAAUCACUGGGCGUAAAGGGAGCGUAGGCGGAUUAGUAAGUUAGGGGUGUAAUCUCCGGGCUCAACCCGGAAUCUUGCCUUUAAUACUGUUAGUCUUGAGUAGUGGAGAGGAAGACGGAAUUCCAGGUGUAGCGGUGGAAUGCGUAGAUAUCUGGAAGAACAUCAGGUGCGAAGGCGGUCUUCUGGCCACAUACUGACGCUGAGGGUCGAAAGUGUGGGGAGCGAACAGGAUUAGAUACCCUGCUAGUCCACACAGUAAACGAUGGACACUAGACGUCGGAAUCGCAAGGUUUCGGUGUCGUAGCUAACGCGUUAAGUGUCCCGCCUGGGGAGUACGCUCGCAAGAGUGAAACUCAAAGGAAUUGACGGGGGCCCGCACAAGCGGUGGAGCAUGUGCUUUAAUUCGAUGCAAAGCGAAGAACCUUACCUGGACUUGACAUGGGAGUGAAACUCUCUAGAGAUAGAGAGCCGUCCUUCGGGAACACUCUACACAGGUGCUGCAUGAUUGUCGUCAGCUCGUGUCGUGAGAUGUUGGGUUAAGUCCCGCAACGAGCGCAACCCUCGCCCUUAGUUGCCAUCAGGUUAUGCUGGGAACUCUAAGGGGACCGCCUGGAAUAACCAGGAGCAAGGUGGGGAUGACGUCAAAUCAUCAUGGCCCUUACGUCCAGGGCUAGACACGUGCUACAAUGGCAGGUACAAAGGGGUGCCAGCUCGUGAGGCCGAGCUAAUCCGAUAAAACCUGUCUCAGUUCGGAUUGGAGUCUGC